AAUAAGUGUUGUUUUACACUAUUCACGUUUAACGUUUGACCGUUCGUUUUAUUUGAAAAAAAUUAUGAUUAGUAUUUUUAUUACUAUUAGAUGAUAAAACAUGAAUAGUACUUUAUGUGCGACUAAAUAUUUUUAAAUUUUUCAUAAAUUUUUCAAAUAAGACGGACGGUCAAACAUUGGACACGGAUAUCCACGACUGUACUUAUU
This 207-nucleotide microRNA precursor is filed under the name Oryza barthii. RNAcentral's name for it is "MIR812 microRNA precursor family". It matches the Rfam family "MIR812 microRNA precursor family". Lineage: Eukaryota; Viridiplantae; Streptophyta; Magnoliopsida; Poales; Poaceae. The record is from Rfam by way of RNAcentral.